CCUACGGGGGGCAGCAGUGGGGAAUAUUGGACAAUGGGGGGAACCCUGAUCCAGCCAUGCCGCGUGUGUGAAGAAGGCCCUCGGGUUGUAAAGCACUUUCAGUGAGGAAGAACGCCUGGUGGUUAAUACCCAUCAGGAAAGACAUCACUCACAGAAGAAGCACCGGCUAACUCCGUGCCAGCAGCCGCGGUAAUACGGAGGGUGCGAGCGUUAAUCGGAAUUACUGGGCGUAAAGCGCGCGUAGGUGGCUUGAUAAGCCGGUUGUGAAAGCCCCGGGCUCAACCUGGGAACGGCAUCCGGAACUGUCAAGCUAGAGUGCAGGAGAGGAAGGUAGAAUUCCCGGUGUAGCGGUGAAAUGCGUAGAGAGCGGGAGGAAUACCAGUGGCGAAGGCGGCCUUCUGGACUGACACUGACACUGAGGUGCGAAAGCGUGGGUAGCAAACAGGAUUAGAUACCCGAGUAGUC
Molecule: ribosomal RNA, 465 nt
Filed under: Vreelandella stevensii
Lineage: Bacteria; Pseudomonadati; Pseudomonadota; Gammaproteobacteria; Oceanospirillales; Halomonadaceae
Description: partial 16S ribosomal RNA
Rfam family: Bacterial small subunit ribosomal RNA
Source: RNAcentral